AAAAUUAAUGAACUAAAAAAAGGCAAUAAACAAUGAUUAACCUGGAAAAGCCAAGAAAUGAAAAAGAACAUAACCAAGUGGGUCAAACAGGAAACAAAUAACAAAGUGGUAUAUAUAAACUUAAUUAUAUCAAUAAUUGGAUUAAUACAAAUGGACCAAAUAUUCUAAAGAGUAUCCUGUGAAUAAUAAUUUUGAAACGCAACACAGUGUAAAGUUUUGACCACAGAUUCUAAGUCUGGGCUCAAAUCUUAGCCCUAAAACUUAUUAACUAACUAUGUGACAAGUCCCAAGUAUUGUCUGUGCCUCAGUUUCCAUAUCUGUAAAAUGAGAGCAAUAAGAGAAACCACUUCAUAGGACUAUAGAACUGUUGUGAGAACUGAGUUUUAUAUAUAUCUUAUAUAACUAUAACAAUAUAUAUCUUAGAACCAUGCUUGCCAUAUAACAAGUUCUAUAUAAGUUUUAGCCACUAUUAUUAAACCUCACAGGAAACUGGUAAAUAACCCAUUUCACAGAGGAUUAAGUUAAGGCAACAGUGAUAGCACAACUUGCCCAAAAUUACCCAGCUGAGGUAUCACUCCAAAGUGGUAGAGGUAUGUAAAUACCUCUACGUAAUUAGUUAAUCCAAAACUCGUGCUCCAUGAGAGCAGGAAACAUAUUUGUUUGCUCAUCACAACAUAUUCAGUGCCAAGCAGAGACGUUGCUCUAUAAAUAUUUGUUGAAUGGAUGAGUGACUCAUUAUAAAAUUCUAUUUCAGGUACUCUCUUAACCAGCAACACAGAAUACUAAUAUUAGUACUAAGUCCCUGCUCGAGAAAGGAAUUGCAAGCACCAGUGUUCAUUUCCAACUACAACCACAUUAGAAGGGAAUAUUUGUGGGAAAACAUUUUAUCAUUAGGUAAAGUCAUCCACAAAAUAACAAUGCUUUAGUCCAAGACAGACUUCAUGUGAUCAUGAGUCCAUAAGAUUAGAAUGGAGCUGAAAACUUCCUAGUGCCUGGUGACAUCAUAACCCUCAUGAUGUCAUAGCACAACAAUUCCACAUUUGUGGUAAUGCUAGUAUAAACAAACCUACUGCACUGCCAGUGGUAUAAAAGAAUAGCACAUACAGUUAUGCCCGGUUCAUAAUACUUGAUAUCAUGAACAACUAUGUUCCUGGUUUAUGUAUUUACUAUACUAGAAUUUUUGUUGUUAUUUUAGAGUACUCUUUCUGUUUACAUUUUUUUUUUUAAAAAAGUUACUGUAAAACAGUAUGUUCUGCUAUGCUGGCAAGAGCCUUAUUCAUCUUGUCUCCAUGGAGUCUCUUGAUGGCAUCAAGAAGCCACAUAGAGUGAUUGACCCAUGCUGUCUAGGUUUGUGUAAGUUCACUCUAUAAUGUUUGCACAAUAAGCAAAUUGCCUAAUGACACACUUCUCAGAAAUUAUUUUGUUAAUGGACACAUGACUGUUAAUAUUAGAAAUAAUUGUAUUUAUUCAUCACAUAUUAUUGGCCAAUAGUUGGUUAAGUACUUCAUCUCCAUGAUCUCAUUUUAUUCUCAAAAAUCACUCUGGGAGGUUAAGAAUUGUUAUCAUUCCUAAUUUUAAGAUGAGAACAUAAGCCUUGGAUCAUAAUCAGGAAGCAAGUUAGUGUAAGAACAAUCAAAAGAAAUGAAAUAGUAGAAAGAAAGUAGAAAUAACCAGAAUCUAAGCCACUGAAUUUACCAACUUUGAAAACACCCUACCUAGGACUUGUACUGUGAAAUAAUAAAUUUUCUUUAUUGUUGAUGCUAGUUGAGUGAGGGAUCAUGUCACUUGUACCCAAAGGCAUCAUCAUUAACAUAUGCAUAAAUGCAAAAGAUCAGAGAAGAUAAGAGAAUAGAUUCUAAUGUAAAAUGAGGAAGUCUGUCUUCAGGUUGUUUAGUAGAGGAUUUGGCAGUGGUGGUGAGGCAGUGUUGGGAGAAGGAAUCAGAUCAGGCUCUACUCUUUCUGUGAUCUCAAGCAAGUUUUAACAUCUCUGGUACUCCAUUUCAUCAUCUAUAUAUUCUUUAAGGUGAAUGGGAUAAUCUGAGCCAUUAUCAGACUCCAUUUUCAGAAAUGGGGCAGCUAAAAAACAA
RNAcentral lists this long non-coding RNA (2087 nucleotides) under Marmota monax (woodchuck). Lineage: Eukaryota; Metazoa; Chordata; Mammalia; Rodentia; Sciuridae. The record is from RNAcentral.